ACCGCAUUAACGUUUUGCAAGUAAGCAACGAAGACAGCACCAGUUCAUCAGUUUUAAGACUACUUGUAUCACGAAAAAUCAAAUGUGUCUCAAAGGAAAACGUUGCAGCUUGAAAUUGGAGACCGGAUUACUCAUAUGGGCGUAUUUUCAACUUGUCACUAUGGGAGUGUGCGCUCUUACGAUUAUCGUUUUAAUCGAAAGAAAUGUCGGGAAUGAAAACAUGUUUGUGGUCCAUAAUGUUAUAAACAUAUCCUUAGUUCCCCUGACUUUUAUCGGAUUUAAAACAGUAUUCUUUUUAUGUUUACUCUUCGGCGUAACAAAUAAAAAAUCGUCCUUCGUACUACCAUACUUGAUUUUUUACAUCACAGAAACAGUACUGAAAGCUCUUGUCAUUGUAGUUUUGGUUUUUACUCUGACUCCAUACAUUGCCUUAUGUCUACUUCUAACUGUUCUAGACAUUCUGUUCGUUUUUCUGGGUGAAAAAACGCACGCGAAAAUUAAGAAAUAUAACAACGAAAUCCAUGGGAACGUUUGAUAUAAAAAAAACUAUAUUUAA
Molecule: long non-coding RNA, 556 nt
Organism: Pieris rapae (cabbage white)
Lineage: Eukaryota; Metazoa; Arthropoda; Insecta; Lepidoptera; Pieridae
Exons: 4
Source: RefSeq, a predicted model, not a curated record